RNAcentral lists this long non-coding RNA (2130 nucleotides) under Marmota monax (woodchuck). The record is from RNAcentral. Lineage: Eukaryota; Metazoa; Chordata; Mammalia; Rodentia; Sciuridae.
CUGUACCACUGCUCUCUGCUGAGGUUCUUGGGCAUCAGUUGCAGUGCUGGGAUGGAAGCUACGGCUUCCCGAGAGUUCUGCUCCUGAGCCACUCCCAGCUCCCGCCCUUCUAGAAUGCCUGUUCGUUAUUCUUCCUCUAGGGAAUUCCUGUGCCAACCUGGGUCUCAACCUGAAUGUUCUUUGCAAAGAAACACACUCUAACAACACACACACACACACACACACACACAUGCACAAACACCACACGCACAAUGCACACACGGGCACACACAUGCGCACACACACCUGCCGCCCCUCCCUUUAAGCUUCUUCUCCCUGCUCCUUCCCCAGCAUGCGUGGCCCUUUCCCUUUGUCCCAGUUCUCCACUAGGCCAUGGGACAGUUGCCUUGGGGACCUUACUUCCUCACUCAAUUCUGAGGCUUCCUCCAAGGUGCCUGGCCCACAGGGCUCCUCAGGGCUUGAGUGACACCAUGAGAUAAGAGGCCACUUCACACAGCCUUUGCUCUCUCCAGCCCCAUGCCACCCGAAUCGCCACCUGGGUUUCCCUCCCACCAGUGGUGGUGGCUUGGUGUCUGCUGAAGGACCCUGUCCUUGUUCUAGGUGAGGGAGGGCUGCAGAAGUCCGUGGGAUCUCUGUCAUCAGGGCAUGGAUCCCAUGCAUGAGGCUCCACCCUGUGACCUCAUUGCCUCCCCCAGCCCCACCUCCAAGUCCCCUCACACCGCGGUGAGAGUCCCCUCGUGGAUUUUGUGUGUCUGUGGCCACGACCAUUCCCACCACGGCUUGUCUGCCCUUUGCCUUUUAACGUGGGGUGAUUUUCUUCUCCUUUGUCUUGAUCUUCUUUGUCUCAUGCACACUUGGAAUGUUUGUGAAUCUCAGGAGCCCGGAAAGGGAAGUCACUUGCCUGAGGUGGUCCCCCGGUUAGGCACGGGGUCAGGACUCUCACCCGGCACCUGCAGCCGGGCCUGGCUGCUGUGGCCGGGCCGGCCUGAGCCUCUGUGUGACAGGAGGCCACGGCCCUCCUCUGGCUGCUGUGCCUGCCUCCCUGCAGCUGUCAGCCAUGUGCCUCUUUGUCUCCUUCCUUCUGGCCUCUGUCCCCGCAUGUGCUCUGUUUCCGCCUGGCUUAUCUCGGCCCCAUGUUCCUUCUUUAAUUUUUAACAGCUUUACUGAGGGAUAAUGAACACACCUCACCACCCACUCAUUUAAAGGCACGGUCGGUGGUUUUGAGAAAGUUACGUAACCUACUGUGACGUUUCACCACCAUCAGGACCUUCUGUGACCUCAGGCCAGUCCCACCCCUGCUGCCUGAAUUCUCCAGGGGGAGGCUUCAGCUGCAGCACCCAGCACACCGCGUGUCCCUGUGUAGGCGCUCCUGGCUGGGACACACUAUGUGCCCCUCACGAGCUGAGCCCUCAUCUCCUUGUCACAUCCCUCCCAUCUCCAUCAUCAGCCGGAUGAUCAGACCUUUGUCACAUAUUUGUCACUGGGAUGAAAAGCAGGUUUAGCAAGUGGCCAGUGAGGAGGCAGGGUAAGGUGCUCCUGAAGGUACUUUGGACCACUUUCCUCAUUUUCUCUGUGGAUCUGGGUCCCCAGAGAGCCUCCUGCACUGACCGGACAGGGCUGGGCUUGUCUUUUGGCUCAAAGGCAGGCGGGAGAGGUUGACACUGUGGGAGGACCGUCUCAGAGCAUUAGGCCAGACCCAAGGAAGUUGUUGAGGAAGGAGGGAAUUAAGAGGCACCUUUGAGAGAAGAGGCUGCUCAGAGGUCAAGUUACUCAACUGCAGGAGGGAGAGGGCCGGGCAGGGCCAGGAGGUUGUCUCAGCAUCUCCUGCUGCGGCCACCAGGUGGCACAGUCAACGCCGAGCAGCUUGGUGGUGCCAGCUGCUGGUGGGGAAGCAGGGUGGGGGCAGCAUGAUGACAGGCAGAGACAAGGACACUGUGGCCAGUGAGUGACUGUCUGUGAUGAUAUCUGGCUUCCUUGGGAAAGUGGUAGGAGCAUCCAGUCCCAGAUGGUGCCCAUGCCAGGGCCUGGGGACGUGGGGGGGGUCGAGGAGUGGAAGUGAUGAGAAACGCCCCCUACUCCUGGGAGCCCCGCUGGACAUGAGCGAGAAGUCAGCAGGGAGAGGGUGGAAUG